CCUACGGGAGGCAGCAGUGGGGAAUAUUGCACAAUGGGGGAAACCCUGAUGCAGCGACGCCGCGUGAGUGAAGAAGCGCCUCGGCGCGUAAAGCUCUGUCAGCAGGAACGAUAAUGACGGUACCUGAAGAAGAAGCCCCGGCUAACUACGUGCCAGCAGCCGCGGUAAUACGUAGGGGGCAAGCGUUAUCCGGAUUUACUGGGUGUAAAGGGAGCGUAGACGGCGGGGCAAGUCUGGAGUGAAAGGCCGGGGCCCAACCCCGGGACCGCUCUGGAAACUGCCCGGCUGGAGUGCGGGAGAGGUAAGCGGAAUUCCUAGUGUAGCGGUGAAAUGCGUAGAUAUUAGGAGGAACACCAGCGGCGAAGGCGGCUUACUGGACCGUGACUGACGUUGAGGCUCGAAAGCGUGGGGAGCAAACAGGAUUAGAUACCCCAGUAGUC
Molecule: ribosomal RNA, 440 nt
Filed under: uncultured bacterium
Lineage: Bacteria
Description: partial 16S ribosomal RNA
Rfam family: Bacterial small subunit ribosomal RNA
Source: RNAcentral